AGAGUUUGAUCCUGGCUUAGGAUGAACGCUGGCGGCGUGCCUAACACAUGCAAGUCGAACGGAGUAAUUAAGCGGAAGUUUCGGAUGGAAGCAUAGUUACUUAGUGGCGGACGGGUGAGUAACGCGUGGGCAACCUGCCCUGUACCGGGGGAUAACACUUAGAAAUAGGUGCUAAUACCGCAUAAGCGCACAGCUUCGCAUGAAGGUGUGUGAAAAACUCCGGUGGUACAGGAUGGACCCGCGUCUGAUUAGCUAGUUGGUGGGGUAGAGGCCUACCAAGGCGACGAUCAGUAGCCGGCCUGAGAGGGUGACCGGCCACAUUGGGACUGAGACACGGCCCAAACUCCUACGGGAGGCAGCAGUGGGGAAUAUUGCACAAUGGGGGAAACCCUGAUGCAGCGACGCCGCGUGAGUGAAGAAGUAUUUCGGUAUGUAAAGCUCUAUCAGCAGGGAAGAAAAUGACGGUACCUGACUAAGAAGCCCCGGCUAACUACGUGCCAGCCGCCGC
RNAcentral lists this ribosomal RNA (508 nucleotides) under uncultured bacterium. Its description in RNAcentral is "bacterial SSU rRNA". It matches the Rfam family "Bacterial small subunit ribosomal RNA", at positions 8 to 518 of the family's 1533-position model. The record is from RNAcentral.